AUACUAAUAUAGGGCUCUUUUAGGUCUUGUAAUUAGAAUAAGUACAAUUUAAACCUCUUAAUAAGGAAUAAUUAGAGGGCAAGUCUAGUGCUAGCAGCUGCGGUAAUUCUAGCUCUAA
This 118-nucleotide ribosomal RNA is filed under the name Plenodomus lingam JN3. RNAcentral's name for it is "eukaryotic small subunit ribosomal RNA". It matches the Rfam family "Eukaryotic small subunit ribosomal RNA", at positions 477 to 594 of the family's 1831-position model. The record is from RNAcentral. Lineage: Eukaryota; Fungi; Ascomycota; Dothideomycetes; Pleosporales; Leptosphaeriaceae.